RNAcentral lists this ribosomal RNA (1367 nucleotides) under Brachyta interrogationis. RNAcentral's name for it is "16S ribosomal RNA". The record is from RNAcentral. Lineage: Eukaryota; Metazoa; Arthropoda; Insecta; Coleoptera; Cerambycidae.
AAAUUCAAUUUAAUUUGAAUUUAAAUAAUUAUUUAAAAUUUUACAUAAUUAAUUCUAUCAAAAAAGAAAAUUAAAGUUUUAUUAUUGGUUAAGAAAAAAUUAAUUUUAUUAUAGUAUAUUAGUAUUGUGAAAGAAUUAAUAAUAUAUAAUUUUAAGAAAAAUUAAUUUUUUGUACCUUGUGUAUCAGGGUUUAUUAAAAAAAAUUUUAAAUUAAAUUAUCUCGAAUUUAAAAGAGUUAAUAAAAUAUUUUUUUUAUUGUUGAAUAAAUAUUAUAAAUAUUUUAUUAGAAAUGAAAUGUUAAUCGUUUUUAAAUAUAUCUAGUUUUUAAGGAAAAAAAUUUAAUUUUAUUAUUUUUAAUAUUUAAUUAAUUAAUAAUAAUAAAAUAUUACAAAUAAUUUAUGUUUUAAGGGAUGAGCUUUAAUACAAAUAUUUACAAAUUUAAUUUAAUAUAAAUAAUAAUAGGAUUAGAAGUUUUCAUUUUUAAAAAAAUGUUAUAAUUAAUUUUUAUAAGAUUAUGAUUUUUAUUAAGUUUUAAGUGUUUUAUUUAAAUAAAAGUUUAAAUAAUAAUAAUUUUGAAAUAAUGAUAAAAUUAGUAUAAUUUAAUUUUAAUUUUAAUUUUUAAUAUUAAGGUUAAAUAAAGGAAUUCGGCAAAAUAAAUUUUCCACCUGUUUAUUAAAAACAUGUCUUUUUGAAAAUAAUUUAAAGUCUAACCUGCCCACUGAGUUAUUAAAUGGCCGCGGUAUUUUGACCGUGCAAAGGUAGCAUAAUCAUUAGUUUUUUAAUUGAAAGCUGGUAUGAAGGGUUGGAUGAGAAAAUAACUGUCUCUAUUUAAUUUAUAUUAGAAUUUUAUUUUUAAGUUAAAAAGCUUAAAUUUUAUUAAAAGACGAGAAGACCCUAUAGAGUUUUAUAUAAUUUUUUUAUUAAAAAUUUUUAGUAUUUUAAUUUUUAGUUUUACUAUUAUAUUUAAUUGGGGUGAUUGAAAAAUUAACAAAACUUUUUUUAUAUAAAAUCAUUUAUUUAUGAAUAUAUGAUCCAUUAGUUGUGAUUAUAAGAUAAAAUUACCUUAGGGAUAACAGCGUAAUUUUUUUAGAGAGUUCAAAUCGAAAAAAAAGAUUGCGACCUCGAUGUUGGAUUAAAAUUUAUUUUUGGUGUAGAAGCUAAAAUAUUAGGUCUGUUCGACCUUUAAAAUUUUACAUGAUCUGAGUUUAGACCGGCGUGAGCCAGGUUGGUUUCUAUCUUUAAUUAAUUAAAAUAUUUUAGUACGAAAGGACCAAAUAGUUAAUAAAUUAUUUUAUAUUUUGAAUUAUAUUAAUUAUUUUGGCAGAUUAGUGCGAUAGAUUUAGAAUCUUUAUAUAUAAUUAUAUAUU